Molecule: long non-coding RNA, 642 nt
Filed under: Phaseolus vulgaris (common bean)
Lineage: Eukaryota; Viridiplantae; Streptophyta; Magnoliopsida; Fabales; Fabaceae
Description: long non-coding RNA (PVUL_LNC003289)
Source: RNAcentral
ACCAACCAAAUCAAGCGCUAACUAGCUUUACCGAAUCAGCCGUAUACAAGUCAAAGGAUCCAGAACCCAACAAGGGUAGGAAAAAUAAACUACGCGGUACUUUGCAGAAAUCCAAGACCACACCUUUACUUGCGCCGAGGCAAAAACUUCUAAUACAUCUGUCACUCCUCCAUUAAAGACGAUCGAGUUCCUAUACUUCCAAAUUUCACUCACAAUUCCAACUCAAAUUGCCCCCCCAAACAUCAUUAAUCGAAUCAGAUGCCUGACUCAACCUGAAUUGGAUAAAAUUUUGCAUAUGAUCCAAAUGGAUUACGAAUGACACUCCAAGCCACUCAAAGCAAAGACACCAGACCCUCCAAGCAAAGUCAGAAACGGAGAACAAGUGACUCGGCGACUCUUCAACCUUCCCACACAAGCAGCAUACAGGGUUUUCAACCACCACCCCGCGCCUUACCAAAUUAACCCUAGUCGCAAUCCUAUUCUCCAACACCCUUCAGGCCAAAAAUACAACAAAAGGCAAUACUUUACACCUCCACAACCUACAGUAGAUCGGAGAGAACUCCCCAUCACUUUCUUACCUUAAUAUAAACCGAGUUAACAAUAAAACUUUGAGCCCGCCUUCGAGAUGCUGCUAUCCAACCC